RNAcentral lists this ribosomal RNA (483 nucleotides) under uncultured bacterium. Its description in RNAcentral is "partial 16S ribosomal RNA". It matches the Rfam family "Bacterial small subunit ribosomal RNA", at positions 28 to 506 of the family's 1533-position model. The record is from RNAcentral.
AUUGAACGCUGGCGGCAUGCUUUACACAUGCAAGUCGAACGGCAGCGCGGGCUUCGGCCUGGCGGCGAGUGGCGAACGGGUGAGUAAUGCAUCGGAACGUGCCCAGUAGUGGGGGAUAGCCCGGCGAAAGCCGGAUUAAUACCGCAUACGACCUGAGGGUGAAAGCGGGGGACCGAAAGGCCUCGCGCUAUUGGAGCGGCCGAUGUCGGAUUAGCUAGUUGGUGGGGUAAAGGCUUACCAAGGCGACGAUCCGUAGCUGGUCUGAGAGGACGACCAGCCACACGGGGACUGAGACACGGCCCAGCCCCCUAGGGGAGGCAGCGGGGGGGAAUUUUGGAAAAGGGGGGCAACCCUGACCCAGCCAUGCCGGGGGGGGGAAGAAGGCCUUCGGUUUGUAAACCGCUUUUGUUGGGGAAGAAAUCCUCUGGGCUAAACCCCCGGGGGGAUGACGGUACCGGAAGAAUAAGCACCGGCUAACUACGU